GAUCCUGGCUCAGAUUGAACGCUGGCGGCAGGCUUAACACAUGCAAGUCGAGCGGAGAUGAGGUACUUGCACCUUAUCUUAGUGGCGGACGGGUGAGUAAUGCUUAGGAAUCUGCCUAUUAGUGGGGGACAACAUUCCGAAAGGAAUGCUAAUACCGCAUACGUCCUACGGGAGAAAGCAGGGGAUCUUCGGACCUUGCGCUAAUAGAUGAGCCUAAGUCGGAUUAGCUAGUUGGU
Molecule: ribosomal RNA, 236 nt
Filed under: uncultured bacterium
Lineage: Bacteria
Description: partial 16S ribosomal RNA
Rfam family: Bacterial small subunit ribosomal RNA
Source: RNAcentral